UACGUAGGUGGCGAGCGUUGUCCGGAUUUACUGGGCGUAAAGGGCGUGCAGGCGGUUUGCUAAGUCUAGGGUGAAAGCUCCCGGCUUAACUGGGAGAGGUCCUUGGAUACUGGCAGACUUGAGGAGGGUAGAGGAGAGUGGAAUUCCCGGUGUAGUGGUGAUAUGCGUAGAUAUCUGGAGGAACACCGGUGGCGAAGGCGGCAUCCUGGACCGGUAUUGACGCUGAGGCGCGAAAGCCAGGGGAGCAAACGGG
This 253-nucleotide ribosomal RNA is filed under the name uncultured bacterium. RNAcentral describes it as "partial 16S ribosomal RNA". It matches the Rfam family "Bacterial small subunit ribosomal RNA", at positions 524 to 776 of the family's 1533-position model. The record is from RNAcentral.